AGGACGAACGCUGGCGGCGUGCUUAACACAUGCAAGUCGAACGGUGACCCUCGGAGCUUGCUUCGGGGUGAUCAGUGGCGAACGGGUGAGUAACACGUGAGUAACCUGCCCCAGACUCUGGGAUAACCCCGGGAAACCGGAGCUAAUACCGGAUACGACACGGAGAGGCAUCUCUACUGUGUGGAAAGUUUUUCGGUCUGGGAUGGACUCGCGGCCUAUCAGCUUGUUGGUGAGGUAAUGGCUCACCAAGGCGACGACGGGUA
RNAcentral lists this ribosomal RNA (263 nucleotides) under uncultured bacterium. Its description in RNAcentral is "partial small subunit ribosomal RNA". It matches the Rfam family "Bacterial small subunit ribosomal RNA", at positions 26 to 285 of the family's 1533-position model. The record is from RNAcentral.